This 841-nucleotide long non-coding RNA is filed under the name Homo sapiens (human). Its description in RNAcentral is "GTF2I antisense RNA 1 (GTF2I-AS1)". The record is from RNAcentral. Lineage: Eukaryota; Metazoa; Chordata; Mammalia; Primates; Hominidae.
ACGUCGUUCGCUGAGAACUUACCGAAGUUGAACUCCCUCACUUUCCGCUUCCCAGCAUUGGCGGGUUCCGGGACUGGUGGCUGCGGUAGCUCAUUGGCCUUUGGUCUCUUAGACGGUGGAGAAUAAUCAUCAUCUUGAAAAAGAAAAUGGUCAUUACUGGAAGAACCAUCUUACAGUUACAGUCACCUCCUGGUCAAUUCCCAACAUUCAAAAGCUAAAGAAACAGGCUCAGAGGAUGUUAUUUGAUUGGACUAUGUUGUAUCUCUGGAGAGCACAGCUGAGAUCAGACUGUGUGUGUGUAACUCCACUAGACUACGAGGGUGCUUCUCAUAAAGGGUUGCAAGAUCAUAGUUCUCGGGGUGUUUAAAGGCAACACCUUCCGGAAGCCCCUGCACUACCACAGCCGACUGGUCUCGCAGCAUCUUCUCAUAUGGUACAGGUACCACUGUGGAUUUGCCUAAAGCUUUCCCUGGGGCAGAUGAAAAGCGGAUGAACAUCAUUCAAUGUGCAGGCCUACCCAACUAUGGAAUGAUGGAACAGAAGGCCUCACCAUGGACUCGAGAGCUGACAUGAGGAAUGUCACCACCAUCCUGCUCUCCGAGGACUCCUCAUCUUCAACGGGGAGGGUGGACAUUGCAACUUGGGCCAUGAUCCCUGUGCAGGAGAAGUAAGAAGAAAGUGAGUGGUAGAAAUCUGGUGUCCUGAACCCACAGCCAAAGCUGUGAGGGCCCCUCACCGGCUGCCUAAUUUACAGUUUUCUUGCUCUAGAGACAAAAUAAGGCUCAGAAACUAAGUAUUUGACUUGCCCAAACCCUCAUAAGAUAAAGAAUCUAUCCCCUAA